GCUGAGGGAUAGCUCAGUUGGUAAAGCAUGAGACUGUCAAUCUCAGGGUCAUGGGGUUCAAGUCCCACGCUGGGUG
This 76-nucleotide transfer RNA is filed under the name Podarcis lilfordi (Lilford's wall lizard). Its description in RNAcentral is "tRNA.Asp". The stretch from base 10 to 68 matches the Rfam family "tRNA", at positions 8 to 63 of the family's 71-position model. From Rfam's summary of the family: Transfer RNA (tRNA) molecules are approximately 80 nucleotides in length. Their secondary structure includes four short double-helical elements and three loops (D, anti-codon, and T loops). Lineage: Eukaryota; Metazoa; Chordata; Lepidosauria; Squamata; Lacertidae. The record is from RNAcentral.